This 314-nucleotide small nuclear RNA is filed under the name Octodon degus (degu). Its description in RNAcentral is "7SK RNA (ENSODEG00000024090.1)". It matches the Rfam family "7SK RNA". From Rfam's summary of the family: 7SK was discovered as an abundant small nuclear RNA in the mid-70s but a possible function has only recently been suggested. Two independent studies have found that 7SK RNA binds the CDK9/cyclin T complex (known as elongation factor P-TEFb). Lineage: Eukaryota; Metazoa; Chordata; Mammalia; Rodentia; Octodontidae. The record is from RNAcentral.
GGAUGCAAGCAUGAUCUGGCUGUGACAUUUGUCACCUGAUUGAUCACCAGGGUUGAGCUGGCUGAUCUGGCUGGCUAGGAGGGUGUCUCCUUCUUCCCCAGGUGCUCCAUGUGCAGCCCUUCUGAAGUUGCACACUUGGUUGGUCGAAGAGGAGACCAUCCUGAUAGAUGAAGACAGUUCCUAGGACAAGGGUGUAAGAGUAGCUGUGCUCCCCUGCUAGAACCUCCAGACAAGCUCGCAAAAAGUAAGAUCAACAGGUCCCAAAGCAAGUUAAAUUACACCUGAAGAUUUUGCCAAGCAUAUCCAUAAGUUUU